CCUACGGGUGGCAGCAGUGAGGAAUAUUGGUCAAUGGACGUAAGGCUGAACCAGCAAAGUAGCGUGAGGGAAGACUGCCCUAUGGGUGGUAAACCUCUUUUAUGCGGGGAUAAAGGUGUCCACGUGUGGAUUUUUACAGGUCCCGCAUGAAUGAGGACCGACAAGUUCCGUGCCAGCAGCCGCGGUAGUACGGAGGGUCCGGGCGUUAUCCGGGUUUAUUGGGUGUAAAGGGAGCGUAGGCGGGUCUUUAAGCGUGCCGUGAAAUUGUGUGGCUCAACCUGUUUCCGCCGUUGAUACUGUCGGUCUGGAGUGGGCGAGAAGUAUGCGGAAUGCGUGGUGUAGCGGUGAAAUGCAUAGAUAUUACGCAGAACUCCGAUUGCGAAGGCAGCAUACCGGAGUCUGACUGACGCUGAGGCACGAAAGCGUGGGUAUCGAACAGGAUUAGAUACCCGGGUAGUC
Molecule: ribosomal RNA, 459 nt
Filed under: uncultured bacterium
Lineage: Bacteria
Description: partial 16S ribosomal RNA
Rfam family: Bacterial small subunit ribosomal RNA
Source: RNAcentral